GAGAUUUUCCUCACGGCCGACCGGACGCGCAGCCGCAGAAGGUUUGUUAUAAGGCGAUGCUGGUGUUGGGAACCCCAUACCGAGCAUGGGUCUAUAAAAAGGCCUCUGGAAAGCGGUCCACUUCCUGUCUGCACGUGGCCACGAGGAUCCAUGAGAGGACUGCAGCUCAAAAAGUUGGAGAACCUUGAAUGCAGUGAGAGCAGAAGAAGAGCGCCAUGGAAAUAAAUAGACUAGGCUUCUGGCUGAAGAAGAAUUGCUCAAUUUAUUGUAUCCAGAACAGAAUCAUAGAAUAAUAGAGCUGGAAGAGAACACAUAGGCCAUCUAGUCCAACCCACUGCAUGCACUCAUAUGCAUAUAUACACAACAUACAUAUAUAUAUAUAUAUGUAUAUUCAUAUUCACAUACACUUAUAAUGCUCCAAAUUGUCCAUACAGGAGGCUGCAAUAAUGACACCUUUGCUUCCUGAUUGCUUAUUUAUUUUAUUUGCAA
Molecule: long non-coding RNA, 489 nt
Organism: Anolis sagrei ordinatus
Lineage: Eukaryota; Metazoa; Chordata; Lepidosauria; Squamata; Anolidae
Source: RefSeq, a predicted model, not a curated record